Molecule: ribosomal RNA, 406 nt
Filed under: uncultured prokaryote
Also listed under: 1 other name
Description: bacterial SSU rRNA
Rfam family: Bacterial small subunit ribosomal RNA
Source: RNAcentral
UGGGGAAUAUUGGGCAAUGGGCGAAAGCCUGACCCAGCGACGCCGCGUGAAGGAAGAAGGUCUUCGGAUUGUAAACUUCUUUUAUUAGGGACGAACACAUGACGGUACCUAAUGAAUAAGCCACGGCUAACUACGUGCCAGCAGCCGCGGUAAUACGUAGGUGGCAAGCGUUAUCCGGAUUUACUGGGUGUAAAGGGUGUGUAGGCGGGACGGCAAGUCAGAUGUGAAAACUAUGGGCUCAACUCAUAGCCUGCAUUUGAAACUACUGUUCUUGAGGGUCGGAGAGGUAACUGGAAUUCCUAGUGUAGCGGUGAAAUGCGUAGAUAUUAGGAGGAACACCAGUGGCGAAGGCGGGUUACUGGACGAUACCUGACGCUGAGACACGAAAGUGUGGGGAGCAAACAGG